Molecule: long non-coding RNA, 144 nt
Organism: Gopherus flavomarginatus (Mexican gopher tortoise)
Lineage: Eukaryota; Metazoa; Chordata; Testudines; Testudinidae
Exons: 3
Source: RefSeq, a predicted model, not a curated record
GUGGGGGGGCCCCAGGGGGGUCCCAGCCUUACGAAGCCGUUGCCCACGAUGCGGUGGGGCUGGGGGGGUCCCGGGGGAGGUGGGGGGCACCAGGGGGGUCCCAGCCUUACGAAGCCGUUGCCCAUGACGCGGUGGGGCUGGGGG